GGUUUGUGGCUCAGUGUUAGAACACUUGCCUUGCAUGUGUGAGGCCCUGGGUUCAAUCCUCAGCACCA
Molecule: transfer RNA, 68 nt
Filed under: Marmota monax (woodchuck)
Lineage: Eukaryota; Metazoa; Chordata; Mammalia; Rodentia; Sciuridae
Description: tRNA.Ala
Source: RNAcentral